Molecule: ribosomal RNA, 557 nt
Filed under: Vibrio sp. UST050418-818
Lineage: Bacteria; Pseudomonadati; Pseudomonadota; Gammaproteobacteria; Vibrionales; Vibrionaceae
Description: bacterial SSU rRNA
Rfam family: Bacterial small subunit ribosomal RNA
Source: RNAcentral
CGGAAACGAGAAGUAGCUUGCUACUUCGUUGUCGAGCGGCGGACGGGUGAGUAAUGCCUGGGAAAUUGCCUUGAUGUGGGGGAUAACCAUUGGAAACGAUGGCUAAUACCGCAUAAUGCUUUUGUUUGUAAUGAACGGGAGCCAAAGAGGGGGACCUUCGGGCCUCUCGCGUCAAGAUAUGCCCAGGUGGGAUUAGCUAGUUGGUGAGGUAAUGGCUCACCAAGGCGACGAUCCCUAGCUGGUCUGAGAGGAUGAUCAGCCACACUGGAACUGAGACACGGUCCAGACUCCUACGGGAGGCAGCAGUGGGGAAUAUUGCACAAUGGGCGCAAGCCUGAUGCAGCCAUGCCGCGUGUAUGAAGAAGGCCUCUCGGGUUGUAAAGUACUUUCAGCAGUGAGGAAGGUGGAUGUGUUCAAUAGCAGCAUUCAUUUGACGUUAGCUGCAGAAGAAGCACCGGCUAACUCCGUGCCAAGCAAGACGCGGUAACUACGGAGGGUGCGAGCGUUAAUCGGAAUUACUGGGCAGUUAAAGCGCCAUGCAGGGUGGCAUGAUUUAC